Molecule: ribosomal RNA, 459 nt
Filed under: uncultured bacterium
Lineage: Bacteria
Description: partial 16S ribosomal RNA
Rfam family: Bacterial small subunit ribosomal RNA
Source: RNAcentral
CUACGGGCGGCUGCAGUGAGGAAUAUUGGUCAAUGGGCGCGAGCCUGAACCAGCCAUCCCGCGUGCAGGAUGACGGCCCUAUGGGUUGUAAACUGCUUUUCUAUGCCAAGAAACCUGAUUACGUGUAAUCAGUUGCCGGUAGCAUAGGAAUAAGCAUCGGCUAACUCCGUGCCAGCAGCCGCGGUAAUACGGAGGAUGCAAGCGUUAUCCGGAUUCAUUGGGUUUAAAGGGUGCGCAGGUGGGCUUGUAAGUCAGUGGUGAAAUGCUGCCGCUUAACGGUAGAACUGCCAUUGAUACUGGGAGUCUUGAGUAUGGUUGAGGUAGGCGGAAUGUGUUGUGUAGCGGUGAAAUGCAUAGAUAUGACACAGAACGCCAAUUGCGAAGGCAGCUUACUAAGCCAUUACUGACGCUGAGGCACGAAAGCGUGGGGAGCGAAUAGGAUUAGAUACCCCAGUAGUC